RNAcentral lists this ribosomal RNA (683 nucleotides) under uncultured bacterium. RNAcentral's name for it is "bacterial SSU rRNA". It matches the Rfam family "Bacterial small subunit ribosomal RNA", at positions 126 to 807 of the family's 1533-position model. The record is from RNAcentral.
CUGCCCCUGUCAGGGGGACAACCCGCCGAAAGGCGGGCUAAACCCGCGUACAUGCCACCGGGGCAUCCCGGAGGCAGGAAAGGCUUCGGCCGGACAGGGAUGGGCAUGCGGCGCAUUAGGCAGUAGGCGGGGUAACGGCCCACCUAACCGACGAUGCGUAGGGGUUCUGAGAGGAAGGUCCCCCACACUGGUACUGAGACACGGACCAGACUCCUACGGGAGGCAGCAGUGAGGAAUAUUGGUCAAUGGUCGGGAGACUGAACCAGCCAAGCCGCGUGAGGGAUGAAGGUACAGAGUAUCGUAAACCUCUUUUGUCAGGGAACAAAGGCGGGGACGUGUCCUCGGAUGAGUGUACCUGAAGAAAAAGCAUCGGCUAACUCCGUGCCAGCAGCCGCGGUAAUACGGAGGAUGCGAGCGUUAUCCGGAUUUAUUGGGUUUAAAGGGUGCGCAGGCGGUCUGUUAAGUCAGCGGUCAAAGCCCGGGGCUCAACCCCGGCCCGCCGUUGAAACUGGCAGUCUCGAGUUGGAGAGAAGUAUGCGGAAUGCGCGGUGUAGCGGUGAAAUGCAUAGAUAUCGCGCAGAACUCCGAUUGCGAAGGCAGCAUGCCGGCUCCACACUGACGCUGAGGCACGAAAGCGUGGGUAUCGAACAGGAUUAGAUACCCUGGUAGUCCACGCAGUAAAC